RNAcentral lists this small RNA (152 nucleotides) under Streptococcus equi. RNAcentral describes it as "Listeria sRNA rli38". It matches the Rfam family "Listeria sRNA rli38". Lineage: Bacteria; Bacillati; Bacillota; Bacilli; Lactobacillales; Streptococcaceae. The record is from RNAcentral.
AUCACUCUUAAAUAAUAGAGUAUCGCAAUUUGAUUGCGGAAGCCUAGUAAAUCAAGGUUUAAUGAUUGCUUAGAGCGAUUUAGAGAAACUGAUAAAUUGAUUUGGUUUCCUGCUAAAAACCCUACCAAAGAUUUUUUGGCAGGGUUUUUAUU